Molecule: unclassified non-coding RNA, 325 nt
Filed under: Hevea brasiliensis (rubber tree)
Lineage: Eukaryota; Viridiplantae; Streptophyta; Magnoliopsida; Malpighiales; Euphorbiaceae
Source: RNAcentral
GGUCCCAGCGAGUCAAGCUCCAGCAACAACUAUCUAUCAUACUCAUAUCCAUAUCUACACCAUACUCAUGCCAAUACACACACAUGUAGCUCUAAAUUAUCCUCAGGGCAGCAAUCACAAAUAAAUAACAAUAAUUAAAUAUGCAGCAACUAUAUUACUACUAAUACAUUAAAUAUUUAUGUGCAUAAUUAAAUAUUUAUAAAAUGCAUAAGUAUGCUAGAUAUAUAUUUAAUAUUGAAAUUAAAAAAAUAAUUAAUAUCUAACUCACAGACAGGUUGACCCAACUACAGCUGAUUCAACUAGAAGGGAGAAGACUGAUUGGCAC